Molecule: non-coding RNA, 735 nt
Organism: Heterocephalus glaber (naked mole-rat)
Lineage: Eukaryota; Metazoa; Chordata; Mammalia; Rodentia; Bathyergidae
Source: RefSeq, a predicted model, not a curated record
CCUGCUACCACUUAGGAGCUAACAGGCAGUAAACCAGGCACGGGAUUGGGGGGCAGCUGUCUGUCCAGGAACUCAGCAGUUACGCUUCCUGUUCUCCUGCCAGGCUGGGUCCUCUGGAGGUCUUUCUCUGGACUUUGGGUCCCAAAGAAAUUCUUUCGAGGUUCUGGGUGUCCUGAACAAAGAAUUGGACAAGACAUGCAGAAAAGGCACCAACGGUGAUUUACAGCAACAUCCCUAGAUUAAGUCACCUGGCAUGGAUCAGGCCUCACGGACUCCACACGCCCUCUACAGGAUACUGUCGGCACAGCAGCUCGAGUGGGCCUUCUCUGUCCAUUUCCGUGGCUCAAAUUUUCCAGUGGUUCAGGAUAAAACCCAGGCCCCAGCUGCGACCCUCAAGGCUCUGGUGGUCAUGGCCAGUUCUGCCUCACCGAUCUUUUGGUCCGACAAGCUACUCUGUCUCCCACCACCAUCCAUGUGCCUGAUACAGUCCAGGACCCAGAACUAUUAAUAUAGAUGUAUCUGUGUAAGCAGCUGCUACACAAAAGAUAGGACAUUUUAGGAGUUUUGUUUGGUGAAUAUACUUUAUUAGUGCCUAUUAAUUUUAUAAAAUAUUUGAUAUUUCUGUUCAUGUACCUGUUUUGAUCAUGCUCAUCCCUUCAUUCCCCCCUUUCCCCCUCUCCCCCCUUAUGCCCUUCCUCUUGUCUAAUAAGCUUCCCUUCCAUUUUCAUGUCACAA